CGUCAGAGGUAGUUUUGCGUUUUAUGUACAUACUGUUUUGUUGUUGUGGUAAUCGCUGGAGCGAGGAGGUGUUAUAGCCUUGUGUAUAUACCGUGAACCCAUUUUGUUUUAUGUAUACAUGUGUUUGUUUUAGCAGCUCUGGACUUUGGUUAUAGCUCCUAUUCGUUUGCAGGUACAGCUAUCGCUUCGUAUACACGAAAAAUUCCUAUGUAUACGGUGGGUCUGUUAGCAUGCCAGGGAAACGUGGUAAUCCGAGGCGUGACAGAUUAAACUGAUAUCAGAGCUUAGAAUUACGUCAUUGGAA
This 304-nucleotide long non-coding RNA is filed under the name Ananas comosus (pineapple). RNAcentral's name for it is "long non-coding RNA (ACOM_LNC025990)". The record is from RNAcentral. Lineage: Eukaryota; Viridiplantae; Streptophyta; Magnoliopsida; Poales; Bromeliaceae.